This 862-nucleotide ribosomal RNA is filed under the name uncultured bacterium. RNAcentral's name for it is "bacterial SSU rRNA". It matches the Rfam family "Bacterial small subunit ribosomal RNA", at positions 9 to 873 of the family's 1533-position model. The record is from RNAcentral.
AGAGUUUGAUCCUGGCUCAGAUUGAACGCUGGCGGCAGGCCUAACACAUGCAAGUCGAACGGUAACAGGAAGAAGCUUGCUUCUUUGCUGACGAGUGGCGGACGGGUGAGUAAUGUCUGGGAAACUGCCUGAUGGAGGGGGAUAACUACUGGAAACGGUAGCUAAUACCGCAUAACGUCGCAAGACCAAAGAGGGGGACCUUCGGGCCUCUUGCCAUCGGAUGUGCCCAGAUGGGAUUAGCUAGUAGGUGGGGUAACGGCUCACCUAGGCGACGAUCCCUAGCUGGUCUGAGAGGAUGACCAGCCACACUGGAACUGAGACACGGUCCAGACUCCUACGGGAGGCAGCAGUGGGGAAUAUUGCACAAUGGGCGCACGCCUGAUGCAGCCAUGCCGCGUGUAUGAAGAAGGCCUUCGGGUUGUAAAGUACUUUCAGCGGGGAGGAAGGGAGUAAAGUUAAUACCUUUGCUCAUUGACGUUACCCGCAGAAGAAGCACCGGCUAACUCCGUGCCAGCAGCCGCGGUAAUACGGAGGGUGCAAGCGUUAAUCGGAAUUACUGGGCGUAAAGCGCACGCAGGCGGUUUGUUAAGUCAGAUGUGAAAUCCCCGGGCUCAACCUGGGAACUGCAUCUGAUACUGGCAAGCUUGAGUCUCGUAGAGGGGGUAGAAUUCCAGUGUAGCGGUGAAAUGCGUAGAGAUCUGGAGGAAUACCGGUGGCGAANNGNNUCCUGGACGAGACUGACGCUCAGUGCGAAGCGUGGGGAGCAAACAGAUAGAAUACCUGGUAGUCCACNCGUAACGAUGUCGACUGAGUGNGCCUGAGGCNNNGCUUNNGAGCUACGCNUAGUCGACGGCUGGGNANU